Molecule: ribosomal RNA, 337 nt
Filed under: uncultured bacterium
Lineage: Bacteria
Description: bacterial SSU rRNA
Rfam family: Bacterial small subunit ribosomal RNA
Source: RNAcentral
AGGGUUUGAUUCUGGCUCAGGAUGAACGCUAGCUACAGGCUUAACACAUGCAAGUCGAGGGGCAGCAUGGUCUUAGCUUGCUAAGGCUGAUGGCGGCCGGCGCACGGGUGAGUAACACGUAUCCAACCUGCCGUCUACUCUUGGCCAGCCUUCUGAAAGGAAGAUUAAUCCAGGAUGGGAUCAUGAGUUCACAUGUCCGCAUGAUUAAAGGUAUUUUCCGGUAGACGAUGGGGAUGCGUUCCAUUAGAUAGUAGGCGGGGUAACGGCCCACCUAGUCAACGAUGGAUAGGGGUUCUGAGAGGAAGGUCCCCCACAUUGGAACUGAGACACGGUCCAA